RNAcentral lists this ribosomal RNA (384 nucleotides) under uncultured bacterium. RNAcentral describes it as "bacterial SSU rRNA". It matches the Rfam family "Bacterial small subunit ribosomal RNA", at positions 29 to 403 of the family's 1533-position model. The record is from RNAcentral.
AAUGAACGCUGGCGGCGCGCCUAAUACAUGCAAGUCGAGCGAGAAGACGUAGCAAUACGUUUGUAAAGCGGCGAACGGGUGAGGAAUACAUGGGUAACCUACCCUAGAGUGGGGAAUAACUAGCCGAAAGGUUAGCUAAUACCGCGUACGCUCCUUGGACUUCGGUUCAGGGAGGAAAGCGAUGCCGAGGGUAUCGCGCUCUUGGAUGGGCUCAUGUCCUAUCAGCUUGUGGUGAGGUAACGGCUCACCAAGGCUUCGACGGGUAGCUGGUCUGAGAGGACGAUCAGCCACACUGGCACUGCGACACGGGCCAGACUCCUACGGGAGGCAGCAGUAAGGAAUAUUGCGCAAUGGGCGAAAAGCCUGACGCAGCGACGCCGCGUG